AUUGAACGCUGGCGGCAUGCCUUACACAUGCAAGUCGAACGGCAGCACGGGGCAACCUGGUGGCGAGUGGCGAACGGGUGAGUAAUGCAUCGGAACGUACCUUUCAGUGGGGGAUAACGUAGCGAAAGUUACGCUAAUACCGCAUAUUCUGUGAGCAGGAAAGCAGGGGAUCGCAAGACCUUGCGCUGAUUGAGCGGCCGAUGUCAGAUUAGCUAGUUGGUGAGGUAAAGGCUCACCAAGGCGACGAUCUGUAGCGGGUCUGAGAGGAUGAUUCGCCACACUGGAACUGAGACACGGGCCAGACUCCUACGGGAGGCAGCAGUGGGGAAUUUUGGACAAUGGGGGCAACCCUGAUCCAGCCAUGCCGCGUGAGUGAAGAAGGCCUUCGGGUUGUAAAGCUCUUUCGGCCGGGAAGAAAUCGCACGGGCUAAUACCCUGUGUGGAUGACGGUACCGGAAUAAGAAGCACCGGCUAACUACGUGCCAGCAGCCGCGGUAA
Molecule: ribosomal RNA, 498 nt
Filed under: uncultured bacterium
Lineage: Bacteria
Description: partial 16S ribosomal RNA
Rfam family: Bacterial small subunit ribosomal RNA
Source: RNAcentral